CCUACGGGAGGCAGCAGUGAGGAAUAUUGGUCAAUGGGCGGAAGCCUGAACCAGCCAAGUAGCGUGCAGGAUGAAGGCCUACGGGUCGUAAACCGCUUUUGCACGGGGAUAACACCCUCCCCUUGUGGCGGUCUGCAGGUACCGUGCGAAUAAGGGCCGGCUCAUUCCGUGCCAGCAGCCGCGGUAAGACGGGAGGCCCGGGCGUUAUCCGGGUUCAUUGGGGUUAAAGGGGGCGUAGGCGGGCGUUCACGUCGGCUGUAAAAUCGCGCGGCUCAACCGCGCCCCGCCGUUGAAACUGGAGGUCUUGAGUGCACAACAGGCAGGCGGAAUGCGUGGUGUAGCGGUGAAAUGCAUAGAUAGCACGAGGAACCCCGAUUGCGAAGGCAGCCUGCCGGGGCGCGACUGACGCUGAGGCUCGAAGGUGCGGGUAUCAAACAGGAUUAGAUACCCGAGUAGUC
RNAcentral lists this ribosomal RNA (458 nucleotides) under uncultured bacterium. RNAcentral's name for it is "partial 16S ribosomal RNA". It matches the Rfam family "Bacterial small subunit ribosomal RNA", at positions 338 to 795 of the family's 1533-position model. The record is from RNAcentral.